Molecule: long non-coding RNA, 1153 nt
Organism: Oncorhynchus tshawytscha (Chinook salmon)
Lineage: Eukaryota; Metazoa; Chordata; Actinopteri; Salmoniformes; Salmonidae
Exons: 4
Source: RefSeq, a predicted model, not a curated record
AAAUUUUAGCUAGCAGACGUCACCAUGAAUUAAGUCGACACUCAAAUCCUUUUCAAUCAUAUGUCAUAUGAAGAGAUAAAACAUCUCGGUGCUCAUCGACCAUUGAACAUAAACAUUACACAACAAGUUGAAAAUCGCAAAUUCAACUAUGAGUGAUUUGGGAAGGAAUCAGUGGCUAUCUAAUCCGCCGCGCCACUUUCCUCUUCAAGCACAUCACAACCACGAGUGCAGGGUAACAUGUUGGUUGUCCAAUACCAAAAAUGCAAGAAGUUCAUGAAGUUGCAGCCUGUGUUCUCUUAUGGAGAUGUCAUCAAUCAAGUCUCUCUUUUUGAAGUCCAAAAUAGAUUUGGACUGCCCUCUGCAGCACAAAUGCACAUUUUUGAUGAUUCCCAAACUGAGGUUGAGGAGGAUGUCCUGCUGGACCUGAUUGAGGCCAUUCCAGACCUCACAAUCAAAGAUCUUGAUGAAGGUAUUUUUCUACAGCCUCUCAUAUAAAUAUUGAGUAACAUGAAUGAUAGAUUGAUUGCUUUGAUCCAUUGUUUGUGCUCAGACAACCAGGACAUCCCGUGGUCAUUUUUAUAGUGGUGUGCAACUUGCAGGAUAAUUACAAGAUUUAAACCACGAGAGGGGGACUGUCAUGACUCUCGCUCCUGGGUGAGGAUCAAAUACAGCCCCCACCCCCUCUCUCCCACCAGAGAGGAAGGGGGGGAAGUUGGGCUGGUUUUAUGUCUUAAUGACCGGUCGUAAACGUUCUCUCUCUUGCCGUUGCAGUAUUGAGAAUGGAAUGUCUGAGUGUUACAACAGAGAAAGACUGCAAUACUUAAACAUCAGAAGAUUGGACAUUGAAACAAUAUUUCUAACAUAAAGGAUGUAGGAAAUGGUUGGUGUGGAUCUAAAUAAUAAAUCCUCUCAAAAGUUGAUUGUUUUGUGAUAUCAUUAAGGAUGGUAAAACUAAAUGAUCUCUGAAAGUGUAUGCAUUCAAGGGACCAGGUUUGCAUCUAAAUGUUGUGAAACUGAUAUGAUUAAGUAUAAGAAUACUUUUGUGAAGAUGAAAUUAUAUUUUACCCUUCUAAAUGAGAACUGCCUGCAGCUCUGCAUGUAACGUAGUCUAGGACACUCGAACGAAGACAAAAAAAUGUUUUUCACUCUUAAC